UAUUGCACAAUGGGCGCAAGCCUGAUGCAGCCCUACCGCGUGUAUGAAGAAGGCCUUCGGGUUGGAAAGUACUUUCAGCUGUGAGGAAGGGGUAACGUUGAAUAGACGUUAUUCUUUACGUUAGCUGCAGAAGAAGUACCGGCUAACUCCGUGCCAGCAGCCGCGGUAAUACGGAGGGUGCGAGCGUUAAUCGGAAUUACUGGGCGUAAAGCGCAUGCAGGUGGUCUGUUAAGUCAGAUGUGAAAGCCCGAGGCUUAACCUCGGAAUUGCAUUUGAAACUGGCAGGCUAGAGUACUGUAGAGGGGGGUAGAAUUUCAGGUGUAGCGGUGAAAUGCGUAGAGAUCUGAAGGAAUACCAGUGGCGAAGGCGGCCCCCUGGACAGAUACUGACACUCAGAUGCGAAAGCGUGGGGAGCAAACAG
Molecule: ribosomal RNA, 421 nt
Filed under: uncultured bacterium
Lineage: Bacteria
Description: bacterial SSU rRNA
Rfam family: Bacterial small subunit ribosomal RNA
Source: RNAcentral